RNAcentral lists this ribosomal RNA (402 nucleotides) under uncultured bacterium. RNAcentral's name for it is "bacterial SSU rRNA". It matches the Rfam family "Bacterial small subunit ribosomal RNA", at positions 355 to 774 of the family's 1533-position model. The record is from RNAcentral.
UCGGGAAUUUUGGGCAAUGGGCGAAAGCCUGACCCAGCAACGCCGCGUGAGGGAUGAAGUAUUUCGGUAUGUAAACCUCGAAAGAAUGGGAAGAAUAAAUGACGGUACCAUUUAUAAGCUCCGGCUAACUACGUGCCAGCAGCCGCGGUAAUACGUAGGGAGCAAGCGUUGUUCGGAUUUACUGGGCGUAAAGGGCGCGUAGGCGGCGCGGUAAGUCACUUGUGAAAUCUCUGAGCUUAACUCAGAACGGCCAAGUGAUACUGCUGUGCUAGAGUGCGGAAGAGGCAACCGGAAUUCUUGGUGUAGCGGUGAAAUGCGUAGAUAUCAAGAGGAACACCCGAGGCGAAGGCGGGUUGCUGGGCCGACACUGACGCUGAUGCGCGAAAGCCAGGGGAGCAAACG